GGGGCUGUGGUGUAGCUUGGACUAUCACUUGGCGUUCGGGGCGCCACAACCUGGGUUCAAAUCCCAGCAGCCCCA
This 75-nucleotide transfer RNA is filed under the name Candidatus Woesearchaeota archaeon. RNAcentral's name for it is "tRNA-Pro". It matches the Rfam family "tRNA". Rfam says of the family: Transfer RNA (tRNA) molecules are approximately 80 nucleotides in length. Their secondary structure includes four short double-helical elements and three loops (D, anti-codon, and T loops). The record is from RNAcentral. Lineage: Archaea; Nanobdellati; Candidatus Woesearchaeota. RNAcentral also lists the same sequence under 1 other name.